UACAGAGGGGGCAAGCGUUGUUCGGAAUUACUGGGCGUAAAGGGCGCGUAGGCGGCCUUCUAAGUCGAACGUGAAAUCCCCGGGCUCAACCCCGGGAACUGCGUCCGAUACUGGAAGGCUUGAAUCCGGGAGAGGGAUGCGGAAUUCCGAGGUGUAGCGGUGAAAUGCGUAGAUAUCUGGAGGAACACCGGUGGCGAAGGCGGCAGUCCUGGACCGGCAUUGACGCUGAGGCGCGAAAGCCAGGGGAGCAAACGGG
Molecule: ribosomal RNA, 256 nt
Filed under: uncultured bacterium
Lineage: Bacteria
Description: partial 16S ribosomal RNA
Rfam family: Bacterial small subunit ribosomal RNA
Source: RNAcentral